RNAcentral lists this transfer RNA (95 nucleotides) under Streptomyces fumigatiscleroticus. Its description in RNAcentral is "tRNA-Pro". Lineage: Bacteria; Bacillati; Actinomycetota; Actinomycetes; Kitasatosporales; Streptomycetaceae. The record is from RNAcentral.
GGGGCCGGUGACGGAACCGGCGCGGGGAUCGGUCCCGGGGGCCGGUGACGGAACCGGCGCCGGGUUCCGUCGCGGAUCUCCGCCUCGCGGUUCCG